RNAcentral lists this ribosomal RNA (496 nucleotides) under uncultured bacterium. RNAcentral describes it as "partial 16S ribosomal RNA". It matches the Rfam family "Bacterial small subunit ribosomal RNA", at positions 28 to 506 of the family's 1533-position model. The record is from RNAcentral.
GAUGAACGCUGGCGGCGUGCCUAAUACAUGCAAGUCGAGCGAACAGACGAGGAGCUUGCUCCUCUGACGUUAGCGGCGGACGGGUGAGUAACACGUGGAUAACCUACCUAUAAGACUGGGAUAACUUCGGGAAACCGGAGCUAAUACCGGAUAAUAUAUUGAACCGCAUGGUUCAAUAGUGAAAGACGGUUUUGCUGUCACUUAUAGAUGGAUCCGCGCCGCAUUAGCUAGUUGGUAAGGUAACGGCUUACCAAGGCGACGAUGCGUAGCCGACCUGAGGGGGGGUCCGCCACCCUGGGACCUGAGACCGGUCCCAGCCCCCUAGGGGGGGCGGCGGGGGGAAAUUUUCCGAAUGGGGGGAAACCCUGACGAGGCAACGCCGGGGGAGGGAGAAAGGUUUGGGGUUCUAAAACCUUUGUUUUCGGGAAAAAAAAAAUUUGUAAAAAACUAGGCGCGUUUGACCGGACCCUAAGAAGAAAGCCACGGUAAAUUCGGG